AGUGAACGCUGGCGGUAGGCCUAACACAUGCAAGUCGAACGGCAGCACAGGAGAGCUUGCUCUCUGGGUGGCGAGUGGCGGACGGGUGAGGAAUACAUCGGAAUCUACUUUUUCGUGGGGGAUAACGUAGGGAAACUUACGCUAAUACCGCAUACGACCUACGGGUGAAAGCAGGGGAUCUUCGGACCUUGCGCGAUUGAAUGAGCCGAUGUCGGAUUAGCUAGUUGGCGGGGUAAAGGCCCACCAAGGCGACGAUCCGUAGCUGGUCUGAGAGGAUGAUCAGCCACACUGGAACUGAGACACGGUCCAGACUCCGACGGGAGGCAGCAGUGGGGAAUAUUGGACAAUGGGCGCAAGCCUGAUCCAGCCAUACCGCGUGGGUGAAGAAGGCCUUCGGGUUGUAAAGCCCUUUUGUUGGGAAAGAAAUCCAGCUGGUUAAUACCCGGUUGGGAUGACGGUACCCAAAGAAUAAGCACCGGCUAACUUCGUGCCAGCAGCCGCUGUAA
This 506-nucleotide ribosomal RNA is filed under the name uncultured bacterium. Its description in RNAcentral is "partial 16S ribosomal RNA". It matches the Rfam family "Bacterial small subunit ribosomal RNA", at positions 29 to 523 of the family's 1533-position model. The record is from RNAcentral.